This 322-nucleotide ribosomal RNA is filed under the name uncultured eukaryote. RNAcentral's name for it is "partial 18S ribosomal RNA". It matches the Rfam family "Eukaryotic small subunit ribosomal RNA", at positions 1470 to 1796 of the family's 1831-position model. The record is from RNAcentral.
CCCUUAGAUGUUCUGGGCCGCACGCGUGCUACACUGAGUGGAUCAGCGGGUCAGGUUGCGCGAAAGUGUUUCCUAAUCUUUAAAUCCGCUCGUGAUGGGGAUUGACGGUUGCAAUUUUCUGUCAUGAACGAGGAAUACCUUGUAAGCGCGGGUCAUCAUCCCGCGCUGAAUACGUCCCUGCCCUUUGUACACACCGCCCGUCGCUCCUACCGAUUGAGUGGUCCGGUGAGGCUUUGGGAUCUGAGCGGAAAGAGCGUUUCGCCGUUUCUGCUCGGAAAACUCAGUCGAACCUUAUCAUUUAGAGGAAGGAGAAGUCGUAACA